RNA transcript from Zeugodacus cucurbitae (melon fly), 1898 nucleotides. RefSeq lists it as uncharacterized. The record is from RefSeq and is a predicted model, not a curated record. Lineage: Eukaryota; Metazoa; Arthropoda; Insecta; Diptera; Tephritidae. The transcript is spliced from 3 exons.
UUAGACCAUAACCCAUCUUAUUUCUGUUAUUUAUAACACUCUUCAUUUAAUUUCUAAUUAUUUGCAGUUUUUUUCAUAUAAACUUGAUAUGUUCCUCGAUAUUGUUGUUGGAUGUUACAUUUCCUUCCAUUGUAGAGACUUUAUUUUCUUAACAAAGGCAGAAAGCAAAUAACUGUUCAAAUGAUACAAUUGAUUCGCUUUUUACCAAGAAUGAUAGAAGACAAGAUUACGACAGACUGAGCGUUCACGACCAACGAAUGGGAAUAGGCAACAGAAGAAUUGUCAAAUGGAAAACGGAAAUGUGAAACAUAGUGAACCAAAUUGAAUAAUGUGCAGAUAAAAUAUCACAAUGAACGUAAUUCUUAAAAUCUUCAUUUAUAAAAUGAUCUAAUAUAAUCAUGCAUAUUUAUAAUUAAAAUUAUAUGUUUUGUUACAAAAAGUUCGCCAUUUUGCCAACUUUUUUGUUGGUUGGAAAAGUGAGAAAAAAAUCUUUAUAGACGACUUUUUUGUACUAUUGUUGUUUAAAUCCGCCAUUGCGGACUUCUUUUUCAAAUUAAUACAUUUUUCACUUAAAAUUUUAAAUAAUAAUUCAGCACAAGCCUUGACUUCAGCCCUUUGUUUUGGUUUUAUUGUUUUGUACCACCGUGCAAUUUUGUUUUGCUCGCGUGUUCGUGGUCGUGAAACUUGUCACUCAACAGGAACUCAAAACUCAAAAUAACUAACUGUAAACGCCUGUCGUAAUCUUGUCUUCUAUCAUUCUUGCUUUUUACGUUGUCAUGUGUUAAAUCGGUCAUCACUCAAAAGGCUCGAAAGGCAAUUGAAAUGGACGUAAGACAAAUCACUCAUGCUUCGAAAUAGAAGUUCGAACUUCACUGCUAAUCAACUCAUGCGAGCAUUUCGUGUUGAGUGAAUGUUGUUCGCUUGCUCAAACGAAUCAAGCAUAACAUCGGCAAUUGUACCGAAUCACACUGUGUGCAAAGAAAAGCGAAUCAACUUGUGCAGGCCUUUAGUGGAAACAUCUAAAUUUUGGGAAAAUGAUGUUAAGCGUUUUACGGAUGAAAAGUUUAAAAAUACGUUUCGUGUGAGCUGGGAGACAUAUUCUUAUUUAGUGGAUCGUCUUAAAAAUGUGCAGAAGGAAAAACGUACUGGCGAAACGUCAUAACUUAAAAAAACGAAUCUCUAUAGCUUUGUACUCACUAGCUUCUUCCGUUGAGUACAGAACAGUCGGAAGUCUAUUUGGAGUCGGACGCACAACAGUAGGAGUUAUAGUUCUAGACAUUUGCAACGAAAUAGUUAAACAAUUUUAAACUAUUUGAAAACGAAGUUUUCGAUAGUUGUCCUCCGAAUGAUGCAAAAGUGAAUGAGACAGUUGCUGGUUUUAAUCAAUUGGGAUUUUCUCACUGUUAUGGCGCAAUCGAUGGUUGCCAUGUAGAAAUCAAGCCUCCAAAAAACCAAGGCUGUGAUUAUUUUAACAUUAAAGGAUGGUACUCAACGGUUUUAUUUCCGUCCGUUGACUAUAGAUGCAGAUUUACAUAUAUUAAUGUUGGGAUACCAGUAAAGUAUUUUAAAAGCAUGCUACUGUGAUCGAAGGUGUUGAGGUGCCAAUACACCUGAUUGGGGAUUCAGCAUUCAAGUUACAAAAUUGUGUCAUGAGACCAUUUUCAUCUGAACAACCCGAAAGCGAAAAAGUUUUCAAUAAACGCAUAUCAUCGGUCAGACGAGUAGCUGAAAACGCUUUUGGACAUUUGAAGGCUCGCUUCAGGCGCAUUGGUCGAGACGAUGGAGUGGAUGGUAUCUUAUCUGUUUCAUCUUCAUUUGCCGACAUGUCAGCUGAAGCAACUAAUGAAUCCGAACCUGUGGAAUAAAAACAUACAUAUGUAUAUAAUUUGAUUAAAAAU